AUGAACGCUAGCGACAGGCCUAACACAUGCAAGUCAGGGGCAGCACAAGGAGCAAUCUGAGGUGGCGACCGGCGCACGGGUGAGUAACACGUAUGCAACCUGCCUGUAAGCGGGGAAUAACCCGUUGAAAGACGGACUAAUACCGCAUAAUACUAAAUUACUGCAUGGUAAUUAUUUAAACAUUUAUGGCUUACAGAUGGGCAUGCGCAUGAUUAGCUAGUUGGAGAGGUAACGGCUCCCCAAGGCAACGAUCAUUAGGGGUUCUGAGAGGAAGGUCCCCCACACUGGUACUGAGACACGGACCAGACUCCUACGGGAGGCAGCAGUGAGGAAUAUUGGUCAAUGGACGAGAGUCUGAACCAGCCAAGUCGCGUGCAGGAAGAAUGUCCCUAUGGAUUGUAAACUGCUUUUGCAGGGGAAUAAAGUGCAUCACGUGUGAUGUUUUGUAUGUACUCUGCGAAUAAGGAUCGGCUAACUCCGUGCCAGCCGCGGC
Molecule: ribosomal RNA, 493 nt
Filed under: uncultured bacterium
Lineage: Bacteria
Description: bacterial SSU rRNA
Rfam family: Bacterial small subunit ribosomal RNA
Source: RNAcentral